This 350-nucleotide long non-coding RNA is filed under the name Mytilus galloprovincialis (Mediterranean mussel). The record is from RNAcentral. Lineage: Eukaryota; Metazoa; Mollusca; Bivalvia; Mytilida; Mytilidae.
AUCUUAAAUUCUGCUUUAGCUAAAUCUCAAACAAUCUGUUAAAUAUCGAUAUGUAGUAUGUAAAAAAGUAAUGACAUGUAAUCAUUGUAAUGCAAUGCAUGAAAUUACACAUUUUUCUUUAUCAGUGAAUGCAUUAAAUUACAAUUACAUGUAAUGCGAAAAAUACUGCAUUACACAUACCAUCCAAUAACUUGGGAAAAUGUAUUGUAUAACCAUGCAUUACAAUUACAAACUAUCAUAACCCUAUGCAUUAUACAUACCCAUCAAAUCGAAAUAAACUCUCAAAUUACAACAUUGAAAAACAUAAAACAUAAAUGACAAAAGCAAUAUAAAAUGCAUGAAAUCGGACG